RNAcentral lists this long non-coding RNA (1282 nucleotides) under Callithrix jacchus (white-tufted-ear marmoset). Its description in RNAcentral is "lncRNA (ENSCJAG00000071691.1)". The record is from RNAcentral. Lineage: Eukaryota; Metazoa; Chordata; Mammalia; Primates; Cebidae.
AUGCUGAAUUCUUCAUUCUAUUUAGAAAAUUAUAAUCAUUAUUCUUGGAGAAGCCUGUAUAAAUUCCUCUGUUUUCAUAUAAAUGUGCUUAGAUUGGUUCUACCUUAUAAAUAUAAUAUUUCAAAUGUCACAAGAGAUAAUAUCAUGGAAAUCGAUAUGGACAGAGGUCUUACUUGGAAGGCCUACAGUUUCAAUUGUUUACAACUGAAUUUUUAUGUUCCAUAUAUUUUAUGUUUCCACCUUCGCCACGUGUGCCACGCAUUUGUAAGUGGUGUAGGAGUAGGGGCAGUAAAUUUAGGAGGAGGUAAGAGUCCUGGAAGGCUCAAUAGCAGAGCUUCUAGUUGUCAGAUUCCUAGUAAUUCUCUUCCAUUUGUGUCCCCUUCCUUUCCCCAUACAAACUGUGUCCCCUUCCCCUCUCCAAAUUUCUACCUGCAUGGGCAAGAUGCUAAUGCAUCCUUGGAGCAAUGCUGGAUGUGGGUGUGGGGGGCAAAGGGGCAGAAAAGACAGUGGCAGUGGACAAAGAUACCCUCUUCUGUUUUUUUUAGAAGAUCAAGCUUCUGAUUCUUCUUGCUCAGUAUGUCCCACGCUUCUUGCUGAGUACUGUUGAAGGGGGACUAAAUUAUUGAUUGUUCUUCAGUUCUAGAGACAACUGAAAAAGAAGCUGGUCCCUCUGAACAGCAUCAUCUCAUUCUCUCUGCUUCCACAAUUGCCCCUAAAACAUAUCCUGUGUUUUUAGACAGUUUCAGUUUUUUCCAUCGAAUAAGAAUUUAGCUCAUUACCAGUGUCCUCAUGUAGCCCCAAACCAUGGGUUAAGAUUAAAUGAAACCCAUGAAAUGUACAUAGGUCAAGGGGCCUAAUUUGGGCUGGCAUUUACCCUUGUGUCUGCAUCCACUCAGGAUCUGAGUGCUUUGUGUCCCAAGAAACACAGGUGCUUGUUCUUUCCAGUCUCUAAACACUCGCAGUGGCAUAAUACUCUAUUUGGUCUCCCAAAGAGACUUCCACAAAUAGCCAUUGUAUACUUGCUUACAAAAAGGUAGAAACAGCACUGGAACCUACUUUCUGAAUCUGUCACUGUCUGCAUGAGAUCUAUGCAAUGGCCUUCAUCUCAUCAUUGACUGCGUAUCAUGCCAUAACUAAAAGGAAAGUGGUGCAUUUGGGGCAAAGAAGGCACAUGUGCCUUGAGUAAAUUAAUGAUUCUAAAAGCCUGUGAAUAGGGAGAAGUGGGGGCAUUCCAAAUCUUUGAAUUUAAGAGAAAAGAGAAAAGGAGGUGUUCUUUUUCCAU